GAUGAACGCUGGCGGCGUGCCUAAUACAUGCAAGUCGAGCGAAAAGACGAGGAGCUUGCCACUCGGACGUUAGCGGCGGACGGGUGAGUAACACGUGGCUAACCUACCUAUAAGACGGGGGUAACUUCGGGACACCUGCGCUAAUACCGGUCAAUAUAUUGAACCGCAUGGUUCAAUAGUGAAAGACGGUUUUGCGGCCACUUAUAGAUGGAUCCGCGCCGCAUUAGCUAGUUGGUAAGGUAACGGCUUACCAAGGCAACGAAGCGUAGCCGACCUGAGAGGGGGGUCGGCCACACGGGAGCUGAGACACGGUCCAGACUCCUACGGGAGGCACCAGUAGGGAAUCGUCCGCAAUGGGCGAGAGCUUGACGGAGCAACGCCGCGUGAGUGAUGAAGGUCUUCGGAUCGUAAAACUCUGUUAUUGGGGAAGAACAAAUUUGUAAGUAACUGUGCACGUCUUGACGGUACCUAAUCAGAAAGCCACGGCUAACUACGUG
Molecule: ribosomal RNA, 497 nt
Filed under: uncultured bacterium
Lineage: Bacteria
Description: partial 16S ribosomal RNA
Rfam family: Bacterial small subunit ribosomal RNA
Source: RNAcentral